This 425-nucleotide ribosomal RNA is filed under the name uncultured bacterium. RNAcentral describes it as "bacterial SSU rRNA". It matches the Rfam family "Bacterial small subunit ribosomal RNA", at positions 355 to 796 of the family's 1533-position model. The record is from RNAcentral.
UAGGGAAUUUUCCACAAUGGGGGCAACCCUGAUGGAGCAACGCCGCGUGCAGGAUGAAGGCCUUCGGGUUGUAAACUGCUUUUAUCUGUGAAGAUUAUGACGGUAACAAACGAAUAAGGGUCUGCUAACUACGUGCCAGCAGCCGCGGUCAUACGUGGGACCCAAGCGUUAUCCGGAAUUACUGGGCGUAAAGAGUUGCGUAGGUGGCAGAGUAAGUAGGUAGUGAAAUUGUGUGGCUCAACCAUACACCCAUUAUCUAAACUGCUCAGCUAGAGCACGGGAGAGGUCACUGGAAUUUCUAGUGUAGGAGUGAAAUCCGUAGAUAUUAGAAGGAACACCGAUGGCGUAGGCAGGUGACUGGCCCAUUACUGACACUAAGGCACGAAAGCGUGGGGAGCGAACGGGAUUAGAUACCCCCGUAGUCC